Molecule: ribosomal RNA, 1528 nt
Filed under: Tuberibacillus sp. Marseille-P3662
Lineage: Bacteria; Bacillati; Bacillota; Bacilli; Caryophanales; Sporolactobacillaceae
Also listed under: 1 other name
Description: bacterial SSU rRNA
Rfam family: Bacterial small subunit ribosomal RNA
Source: RNAcentral
AGAGUUUGAUCCUGGCUCAGGACGAACGCUGGCGGCGUGCCUAAUACAUGCAAGUCGAGCGCGAGAUAUUCUAUGAUUUCUUCGGAGUGAUUAGGAUGGAUCGAGCGGCGGACGGGUGAGUAACACGUGGGUAACCUGCCUGUAAGCUCGGAAUAACCCCGGGAAACCGGAGCUAAUGCCGAAUGUGAUCAUCGCACCGCAUGGUGCGAUGAAUAAAGACGGCUUUGUCGUCACUUACAGAGGGGCCCGCGGCGCAUUAGCUUGUUGGUGAGGUUAAAGCUUACCAAGGCGACGAUGCGUAGCCGACCUGAGAGGGUGAUCGGCCACACUGGGACUGAGACACGGCCCAGACUCCUACGGGAGGCAGCAGUAGGGAAUCAUCCGCAAUGGACGAAAGUCUGACGGUGCAACGCCGCGUGAGUGAUGAAGGUCUUCGGAUCGUAAAGCUCUGUUGUCAGCGAAGAACAGGUGCCAUAGGUAAUGAUGGCGCUUUGACGGUAUCUGACCAGAAAGCCCCGGCUAACUACGUGCCAGCAGCCGCGGUAAUACGUAGGGGGCAAGCGUUGUCCGGAAUUAUUGGGCGUAAAGCGCGCGCAGGCGGCUUCUUAAGUCUGAUGUGAAAGCCCGUGGCUCAACCACGGAGGGGCAUUGGAAACUGGGGGGCUUGAGUACAGGAGAGGAGAGCGGAAUUCCACGUGUAGCGGUGAAAUGCGUAGAGAUGUGGAGGAACACCAGUGGCGAAAGCGGCUCUCUGGCCUGUAACUGACGCUGAGGCGCGAAAGCGUGGGGAGCGAACAGGAUUAGAUACCCUGGUAGUCCACGCCGUAAACGAUGAGUGCUAGGUGUUAGGGGGGUCCAACCCCUUAGUGCUGAAGUUAACACAUUAAGCACUCCGCCUGGGGAGUACGACCGCAAGGUUGAAACUCAAAGGAAUUGACGGGGGCCCGCACAAGCAGUGGAGCAUGUGGUUUAAUUCGAAGCAACGCGAAGAACCUUACCAGGUCUUGACAUCCUCUGACAACCCUAGAGAUAGGGCGUUCCCCUUCGGGGGACAGAGUGACAGGUGGUGCAUGGUUGUCGUCAGCUCGUGUCGUGAGAUGUUGGGUUAAGUCCCGCAACGAGCGCAACCCCUAAUCUUAGUUGCCAGCAUUCAGUUGGGCACUCUAAGGUGACUGCCGGUGACAAACCGGAGGAAGGUGGGGAUGACGUCAAAUCAUCAUGCCCCUUAUGACCUGGGCAACACACGUGCUACAAUGGGCGGCACAACGGGCAGCGAAACCGCGAGGUUCAGCGAAUCCCUUAAAGCCGCUCUCAGUUCGGAUUGUAGGCUGCAACUCGCCUGCAUGAAGCCGGAAUUGCUAGUAAUCGCGGAUCAGCAUGCCGCGGUGAAUCCGUUCCCGGGCCUUGUACACACCGCCCGUCACACCACGAGAGUCCGCAACACCCGAAGUCGGCUCCGGCCGCCGAAGGUGGGGCGAAUGAUUGGGGUGAAGUCGUAACAAGGUAGCCGUAUCGGAAGGUGCGGCUG